This 753-nucleotide ribosomal RNA is filed under the name uncultured bacterium. RNAcentral's name for it is "bacterial SSU rRNA". It matches the Rfam family "Bacterial small subunit ribosomal RNA", at positions 28 to 776 of the family's 1533-position model. The record is from RNAcentral.
AUUGAACGCUGGCGGCAUGCCUUACACAUGCAAGUCGAACGGUAACGGGUCCUUCGGGAUGCCGACGAGUGGCGAACGGGUGAGUAAUAUAUCGGAACGUGCCCAGUAGUGGGGGAUAACUGCUCGAAAGAGCAGCUAAUACCGCAUACGACCUGAGGGUGAAAGGGGGGGAUCGCAAGACCUCUCGCUAUUGGAGCGGCCGAUAUCAGAUUAGCUAGUUGGCGGGGUAAAGGCCUACCAAGGCAACGAUCUGUAGUUGGUCUGAGAGGGCGACCAGCCACACUGGGACUGAGACACGGCCCAGACUCCUACGGGAGGCAGCAGUGGGGAAUUUUGGACAAUGGGCGCAAGCCUGAUCCAGCAAUGCCGCGUGCAGGAAGAAGGCCUUCGGGUUGUAAACUGCUUUUGUCAGGGAAGAAAUCUUCUGGGCUAAUACCCCGGGAGGAUGACGGUACCUGAAGAAUAAGCACCGGCUAACUACGUGCCAGCAGCCGCGGUAAUACGUAGGGUGCGAGCGUUAAUCGGAAUUACUGGGCGUAAAGCGUGCGCAGGCGGCUUUGCAAGACAGAUGUGAAAUCCCCGGGCUCAACCUGGGAACUGCAUUUGUGACUGCAAGGCUAGAGUACGGCAGAGGGGGAUGGAAUUCCGCGUGUAGCAGUGAAAUGCGUAGAUAUGCGGAGGAACACCAAUGGCGAAGGCAAUCCCCUGGGCCUGUACUGACGCUCAUGCACGAAAGCGUGGGGAGCAAACAGG